GACGAACGCUGGCGGCGUGCUUAACACAUGCAAGUCGAACGGACAGACAGAGAGCUUGCUCUCUUGAAGUUAGUGGCGAACGGGUGAGUAACGCGUAAUCAACCUGCCCUUCAGAGGGGGAUAACAACGGGAAACCGUUGCUAAUACCGCGUACGAUUCAUGAACGGCAUCGGUUAUGAAUGAAAGGUGGCCUCUAUGUAUAAGCUAUCGCUGAAGGAGGGGAUUGCGUCGGAUUAGCUAGUUGGAGGGGUAACGGCCCGCCAAGGCAAUGAUCAGUAGCCGGUCUGAGAGGAUCAGCCACACUGGGACUGAGACACGGCCCAGACUCCUACGGGAGGCAGCAGUGGGGAAUCUUGGACAAUGGGGGCGACCCUGAUCCAGCCAUGCCGCGUGUGUGAAGAAGGCCUUCGGGUUGUAAAGCACUUUCAGCAGGGAGGAAGGCUUUGGCCGAAUAGGUUGAAGUACUUGACGUUACCUGCAGAAGAAGCACCGGCUAAUUUCGUGCCAGCCGCCGCAGUAA
RNAcentral lists this ribosomal RNA (520 nucleotides) under uncultured bacterium. RNAcentral describes it as "partial 16S ribosomal RNA". It matches the Rfam family "Bacterial small subunit ribosomal RNA", at positions 28 to 523 of the family's 1533-position model. The record is from RNAcentral.